RNAcentral lists this long non-coding RNA (1014 nucleotides) under Sus scrofa (pig). RNAcentral describes it as "lncRNA (ENSSSCG00060017279.1)". Lineage: Eukaryota; Metazoa; Chordata; Mammalia; Artiodactyla; Suidae. The record is from RNAcentral.
AGGCCUGCACGGCGCAGGGCCCUGGGGCAGAGACCCGAAUGUGGUCGGAGUGCGGGCUGGGAAGGCGGGAUCGGACCGCUGGGCAUCCACCUGGGCCCUGGGGAGGAGGGCCCUGCAGCUGGGACCCCGGCCGGGCCCCAGAGCCAGGUCUGAGGUGGGGCCGCUGGGAUGGUUCUCGACCCCGGCAGCCUGUCAGCCUCCUGCCUCCACAGCGACCAGCGCGGAGGAGGCUCUCAGGGCCGCGAAGCUGAGAGGACACAACGAGGGCCAGCCUCCCUUGGGAUCCGCAGCUGGGCGCCUGCGCCCUUGCAACCCAGGAACGCGCUACCAGGAAUCUGCAGGGCCCUGGGGCUGUUUGCAAGUGCGCCCUUCGGCCUCCGAGGAGAGACGACCAGGGACCCCCUGGAGCCAGCAGCCCCACCCCCUCAGAUGUGUGCUCUUGGAACACAAGCCCCCAGGAGCCUGAGCACACGGAUAGCCUUCUUCACAAGAGCCCUGCAGCUUGGGCUGCCCAAGCAGCAUUCUGGUCCAUCGGGGAGCUCGCUGAUGGCGAAACAGACCAAGAACCGAAUCACCCCUCACCCGGUCCCGUUUGAUUAGCGAUCGGUUCGGAGACAGAGCAUAUACCCAACACCCAAGCGUGAGUGUGGCUUUUGCUUCCGUUUUCCAAGAAGAGAAAAACGAAUGACUGGCCUAAACGUCCUCUCCCAAGCAGGUGUGUGAUAGGCUCCCGACCCCUCUGCUCUGGGCCACGAAGCUUCCUCUGGUUCCCCGCCCCCAGCCCACGGCCCCUUUGCUGCACCAGGACUGGGAGAGGCCCAGGGGGCUGCCAACCCGGACCCAGACUCCCUGACGCCUGACUUGCGGCCCCUCCCCACAGCCUGGGGGUCACUGUCUACAGCCAGACCCACACCGGGGCCUCCCUUGAAGUAAGAGUCGGUCUGUUGUGCCGUCUGUGUCACCCACCCCACGCUGGCAGUGACUCCUCUGCCACUAGGAUCAGCCCGUUACUGC